This 370-nucleotide ribosomal RNA is filed under the name uncultured organism. RNAcentral describes it as "bacterial SSU rRNA". It matches the Rfam family "Bacterial small subunit ribosomal RNA", at positions 526 to 896 of the family's 1533-position model. The record is from RNAcentral.
CGUAGGGUGCGAGCGUUAAUCGGAAUUACUGGGCGUAAAGCGUGCGCAGGCGGUUUUGUAAGACAGAUGUGAAAUCCCCGGGCUCAACCUGGGACCUGCAUUUGUGACUGCAAGGCUAGAGUACGGUAGAGGGGGAUGGAAUUCCGCGUGUAGCAGUGAAAUGCGUAGAUAUGCGGAGGAACACCGAUGGCGAAGGCAAUCCCCUGGACCUGUACUGACGCUCAUGCACGAAAGCGUGGGGAGCAAAUAGGAUUAGAUACCCUGGUAGUCCACGCCCUAAACGAUGUCAACUGGUUGUUGGGUCUUUACUGACUCAGUAACGAAGCUAACGCGUGAAGUUGACCGCCUGGGGAGUACGGCCGCAAGGUUG